GUGGGGAUAGCUUAGUGGUAGAGUGCAUGCUUAGCAUGCAUGAGGUCAUGGGUUCUAUUCCCAGUACCUCCA
Molecule: transfer RNA, 72 nt
Filed under: Camelus bactrianus (Bactrian camel)
Lineage: Eukaryota; Metazoa; Chordata; Mammalia; Artiodactyla; Camelidae
Also listed under: 2 other names
Rfam family: tRNA
About the family: Transfer RNA (tRNA) molecules are approximately 80 nucleotides in length. Their secondary structure includes four short double-helical elements and three loops (D, anti-codon, and T loops).
Source: Rfam by way of RNAcentral